UGUUUGAUGUUCUAACGUUGACCCGUAAUCCGGGUUGCGGACAGUGUCUGGUGGGUAGUUUGACUGGGGCGGUCUCCUCCUAAAGAGUAACGGAGGAGCACGAAGGUUGGCUAAUCCUGGUCGGACAUCAGGAGGUUAGUGCAAUGGCAUAAGCCAGCUUGACUGCGAGCGUGACGGCGCGAGCAGGUGCGAAAGCAGGUCAUAGUGAUCCGGUGGUUCUGAAUGGAAGGGCCAUCGCUCAACGGAUAAAAGGUACUCCGGGGAUAACAGGCUGAUACCGCCCAAGAGUUCAUAUCGACGGCGGUGUUUGGCACCUCGAUGUCGGCUCAUCACAUCCUGGGGCUGAAGUAGGUCCCAAGGGUAUGGCUGUUCGCCAUUUAAAGUGGUACGCGAGCUGGGUUUAGAACGUCGUGAGACAGUUCGGUCCCUAUCUGCCGUGGGCGCUGGAGAACUGAGGGGGGCUGCUCCUAGUACGAGAGGACCGGAGUGGACGCAUCACUGGUGUUCGGGUUGUCAUGCCAAUGGCACUGCCCGGUAGCUAAAUGCGGAAGAGAUAAGUGCUGAAAGCAUCUAAGCACGAAACUUGCCCCGAGAUGAGUUCUCCCUGACUCCUUGAGAGUCCUGAAGGAACGUUGAAGACGACGACGUUGAUAGGCCGGGUGUGUAAGCGCAGCGAUGCGUUGAGCUAACCGGUACUAAUGAACCGUGAGGCUUAACCUUACAACGCCGAAGCUGUU
This 737-nucleotide ribosomal RNA is filed under the name Escherichia coli. RNAcentral describes it as "partial 23S ribosomal RNA". It matches the Rfam family "Bacterial large subunit ribosomal RNA", at positions 2211 to 2925 of the family's 2925-position model. The record is from RNAcentral. Lineage: Bacteria; Pseudomonadati; Pseudomonadota; Gammaproteobacteria; Enterobacterales; Enterobacteriaceae.